This is a long non-coding RNA of Homo sapiens (human), 403 nucleotides long. The record is from Ensembl. Lineage: Eukaryota; Metazoa; Chordata; Mammalia; Primates; Hominidae.
CUGACCAUCAUGACCUUAUGGUUUUGGGUGUGCACCUGGCUUGCAGCAGAACUGGCUGGGAUGGCUUCAUAACUUCCCUUCUAACAAUAUAACAAUAUGCUUCUGUAAAUUUUCACACUGAAUUGGACAAGAAUCAGAAUAUCCUGUUUUGAACAUCUGCACAGAUUGACAAGUGCCAAGACUGAGGCUCAGAGAAAUGAAAUAACAUGCCAAAGGUCACAGUGUCUAGUGGAGCUGGGGCCAAAUUCAGAUUAAUAACACACAGGAAAAACCCUCAACUUCUUUCAUUCGCCUGUUGAGAUAAAGGGAAAGAGAGUCCCCAUCCAGGCCUGCAGGAGAGGGAGAACUGGUGGAUGCAAAUGAAAAAGCAGAGGCAUUCCUCAGGGUCUUGCUCUGCCACCCA